RNAcentral lists this ribosomal RNA (70 nucleotides) under Microsporum canis. RNAcentral's name for it is "partial 18S ribosomal RNA". Lineage: Eukaryota; Fungi; Ascomycota; Eurotiomycetes; Onygenales; Arthrodermataceae. The record is from RNAcentral.
GGAAGGAUCAUUAACGCGCAAGAGGUCGAAGUUGGCCCCCGAAGCUCUUCCGUCUCCCCCCCGGGCCUCC